This 1189-nucleotide ribosomal RNA is filed under the name Enterococcus thailandicus. Its description in RNAcentral is "bacterial SSU rRNA". It matches the Rfam family "Bacterial small subunit ribosomal RNA", at positions 70 to 1232 of the family's 1533-position model. Lineage: Bacteria; Bacillati; Bacillota; Bacilli; Lactobacillales; Enterococcaceae. The record is from RNAcentral.
UUUUCUUUCACCGGAGCUUGCUCCACCGAAAGAAAAGGAGUGGCGAACGGGUGAGUAACACGUGGGUAACCUGCCCAUCAGAAGGGGAUAACACUUGGAAACAGGUGCUAAUACCGUAUAACAAUCGAAACCGCAUGGUUUUGAUUUGAAAGGCGCUUUCGGGUGUCGCUGAUGGAUGGACCCGCGGUGCAUUAGCUAGUUGGUGAGGUAACGGCUCACCAAGGCCACGAUGCAUAGCCGACCUGAGAGGGUGAUCGGCCACAUUGGGACUGAGACACGGCCCAAACUCCUACGGGAGGCAGCAGUAGGGAAUCUUCGGCAAUGGACGAAAGUCUGACCGAGCAACGCCGCGUGAGUGAAGAAGGUUUUCGGAUCGUAAAACUCUGUUGUUAGAGAAGAACAAGGAUGAGAGUAACUGUUCAUCCCUUGACGGUAUCUAACCAGAAAGCCACGGCUAACUACGUGCCAGCAGCCGCGGUAAUACGUAGGUGGCAAGCGUUGUCCGGAUUUAUUGGGCGUAAAGCGAGCGCAGGCGGUUUCUUAAGUCUGAUGUGAAAGCCCCCGGCUCAACCGGGGAGGGUCAUUGGAAACUGGGAGACUUGAGUGCAGAAGAGGAGAGUGGAAUUCCAUGUGUAGCGGUGAAAUGCGUAGAUAUAUGGAGGAACACCAGUGGCGAAGGCGACUCUCUGGUCUGUAACUGACGCUGAGGCUCGAAAGCGUGGGGAGCAAACAGGAUUAGAUACCCUGGUAGUCCACGCCGUAAACGAUGAGUGCUAAGUGUUGGAGGGUUUCCGCCCUUCAGUGCUGCAGCUAACGCAUUAAGCACUCCGCCUGGGGAGUACGACCGCAAGGUUGAAACUCAAAGGAAUUGACGGGGGCCCGCACAAGCGGUGGAGCAUGUGGUUUAAUUCGAAGCAACGCGAAGAACCUUACCAGGUCUUGACAUCCUUUGACCACUCUAGAGAUAGAGCUUCCCCUUCGGGGGCAAAGUGACAGGUGGUGCAUGGUUGUCGUCAGCUCGUGUCGUGAGAUGUUGGGUUAAGUCCCGCAACGAGCGCAACCCUUAUUGUUAGUUGCCAUCAUUUAGUUGGGCACUCUAGCAAGACUGCCGGUGACAAACCGGAGGAAGGUGGGGAUGACGUCAAAUCAUCAUGCCCCUUAUGACCUGGGCUACACACGUGCUACAAUG